RNAcentral lists this ribosomal RNA (274 nucleotides) under uncultured bacterium. RNAcentral's name for it is "partial 16S ribosomal RNA". It matches the Rfam family "Bacterial small subunit ribosomal RNA", at positions 523 to 796 of the family's 1533-position model. The record is from RNAcentral.
AUACGGAGGGUGCAAGCGUUAAUCGGAAUUACUGGGCGUAAAGCGCGCGUAGGCGGCUGAUUAAGUCGGAUGUGAAAUCCCUGGGCUCAACCUAGGAACUGCAUCCGAUACUGGUCAGCUAGAGUUUUGGAGAGGUAAGUGGAAUUUCCGGUGUAGCGGUGAAGUGCAUAGAGAUCGGAAGGAACACCAGUGGCGAAGGCGACUUACUGGCCAAAAACUGACGCUGAGGUGCGAAAGCGUGGGUAGCGAACAGGAUUAGAUACCCUAGUAGUCC